AGACGAUCGCACCGCUUCGCCAUUGCAGUCCGUAGCUCCUUUAUUGCCCCCUGGCCCCGCUCCUCAUGAGCCGCCGCCCGGGAAGACCGGGACCGCCGAAAAGGACUCGUGUUAUGCACGUUAUAGAAACCUAAUCGGUGUUCGUGCCAAGACGCUAAACGUUGGUCGCAUCAAGACAUUUUCUGGGAUGUGCAAUGCCACGUGGUUAAUUUGGCAAUUAGCAGCUCUAAGAUAAUUCAAUCACGGGACGAAUUUGAAUCAGUAGGAAUAGAAUUCCAAUCUUAUGAGAUCUGAAAUUUCUGUGUAAUCAUCGUUUUGAUAUAGAAAGAUGAAAAAAUUUCAUAAUGCCAUCGUUGACGGGAUAUUAAUAAUAUUCAGUAACAUAUGAUUUUGAAUAUUUAUCAAUAAAGAAUAUUUUUUAUUCUA
Molecule: long non-coding RNA, 426 nt
Organism: Venturia canescens
Lineage: Eukaryota; Metazoa; Arthropoda; Insecta; Hymenoptera; Ichneumonidae
Exons: 3
Source: RefSeq, a predicted model, not a curated record